Long non-coding RNA from Gadus macrocephalus (Pacific cod), 3146 nucleotides. RefSeq lists it as uncharacterized. The record is from RefSeq and is a predicted model, not a curated record. The transcript has 2 exons. NCBI's taxonomy places the organism in Eukaryota, Metazoa, Chordata, Actinopteri, Gadiformes, Gadidae.
GUUAGGGUGAGGGUGAGGGUUCCUGCCCUCGGAGGUUCCGGUCGGGAGUCGUCGACCGCCACACCCAGAGCCGACCUCCUGUGGAGCCAGCGGCCGCACCAGGUGAGUUAAUGGCUUCUAGACCUCGUUAAGACUGGGGCUCGACCUCAGAGUCCUUCGUUAAGACGUCCUAAAGACGCCUUCGUUAAGCCUGGGGCUCGACCUCAGAGUCCUUCGUUAAGACGUCCUAAAGACGCCUUCGUUAAGCCUGGGGCUCGACCUCAGAGUCCUUCGUUAAGACGUCCUAAAGACGCCUUCGUUAAGCCUGGGGCUCGACCUCAGAGUCCUUCGUUAAGACUUCCUAAAGACGCCUUCGUUAAGACGGUUUGACGUCAGACGUUCCUGGGACGUUCAUGAGGCUGAGAACGAGGCAGCCUGGGUUCAGACCCUUUGGCAGAAAGAGAAAAACGUUUAACGCUAUGUUGUUACCAAUGAUGGAUGGAUUCGGAAGGGGAAAUGUGUAAGUGAGUGUGUUACCACUGUGUUAUCAUUCAUGACUCUCCUCUUCAAGGCUCAAGGCUCAAAGAUUCUAGUUCACUACCAGGUCUAGGCUCCUAGUUAGGAGCCUUGACCGGGUAGUGAACUAGUAGGCUCCUAGUUAGGAGCCUAGGCCUAGUAGUGAACUAGUAGGCUCCUAGUGAGGAGCCUAGGCCUAGUAGUGAACGAGUAGGCUCCUAGUGAGGAGCCUAGGCCUAGUAGUGAACUAGUAGGCUCCUAGUGAGGAGCCUAGGCCUAGUAGUGAACUAGUAGGCUCCUAGUUAGGAGCCUAGGCCUAGUAGUGAACUAGUAGGCUCCUAGUGAGGAGCCUAGGCCUAGUAGUGAACUAGUAGGCUCCUAGUGAGGAGGCCUAGUAGUGAACUAGUAGGCUCCUAGUGAGGAGCCUAGGCCUAGUAGUGAACUAGUAGGCUCCUAGUGAGGAGCCUAGGCCUAGUAGUGAACUAGUAGGCUCCUAGUGAGGAGCCUAGGCCUAGUAGUGAACUAGUAGGCUCCUAGUUAGGAGCCUAGGCCGGGUAGUGAAGGCUCCUCUCUGGCAGCAGAGGGAGGCCUGAGGAGGACCCGGCCUCCUUCAGGCCUCCCUCCCUUCAGCAUAAAGGAGUCUGUGUCUCCUUAGGAGCAGGGAGCCUUAACACCCACAUUAGGCUGCUUAAUGUCCCCCACCACACCCUGUGUGUGUGCGUGUGUGUGCGUGUCCACACACACUGAAACCUCCUCGUGUUGACAGCGCCAUAAAGCCUUAUCUGCUGGCCUUUGGCCCCAGAGGCCCUCGUAAACCCAGAGCAGGAAACGGGUCAAAGUCAGGGCUGCUCUGACACUUAUCUCAGGCUCAAAGUGCACCUUAUUUAUGCUUUUAUUGAGUUUUGAUUUCUCUUAUCCCCCCCCCCCCUCUCUCUCUCUCUCUCUCUCUCUCUCUCUCUCUCUCUCUCUCUCUCUCUCUCUUCAUUCAUUCCAGAAGUCUCUGAAGCUGGAGCCCCUCCCCCCCCAACCAGGACUGAGGGAGGAAGCCACGGUACACAGUGUCUGUUGUAACGUCAAGCAAGCUCGUACUUUCAGAGUAAAUGUACUUAAAUGAUGUCAUGUGAGUAGUGUUUGUAGUAACGUCAGAGUAGCUCGUAUUUUCAAAGUAAAAGUCACGGCGCGGCUCCAUGUGGGGGGGGGGGGGGUGUUGGAGGCCCAUGGCGCUCACUGCCUGUAACAGCAACUCCAUGUGGAAGCUCCUCCUUCCAGUGGAAGUGCUGCUACGUGCAGGGGGCGCCGCACUCACCUGGGGGCCCGGGGGCCCCUUCCUGUCGGCCCUCUGUGCUGAUUGGUCCGUUAUCUGCAGAUGACCUCAUCUGGAGAUGAUCCUCUGUGGCGGGAAAGGAGUGAGUGACACAACAGUGAGUGUUUGAGUGACGGCGUGUUUGAGUGACAGUGUGUUUGAGUGACAGUGUGUUUGAGUGACAGCGUGUGUUUGAGUGACAGACAGCGUGUGUUUGAGUGACAGCGUGUUUGAGUGACAUUGUGUGUUUGAGUGACAGUGCGUGUUUGAGUGACAGCAUGUGUUUGAGUGACAGCUUGUCGGGGCGCAGGGUGAUGACCUAUGAAUUGACAGCCAGUCGUCCUCAAGUUGCCUGUCAGUUUUAUAGGCCACUGCUGUGUAGGACCCCACUAACGACCGGUCGCCACGGCGAUCCCCAGGAGCCAAUCACGACGGGCGUCCAUCUUGAUGCAGUCACGAGUAAAAACAGUUUGAACUUGUACUGAUAUUAUACUGGUUCUACUGGAGUCUCUGUACAGUGUACUGAUAUUACACUGGUUCUACUGGAGUCUCUGUACAGUGUACUGAUAUUAUACUGGUUCUACUGGAGUCUCUGUACAGUGUACUGAUAUUAUACUGGUUCUACUGGAGUCUCUGUACAGUGUACUGAUAUUAUACUGGUUCUACUGGAGUCUCUGUACAGUGUACUGAUAUUAUACUGGUUCUACUGGAGUCUCUGUACAGUGUACUGAUAUUACACUGGUUCUACUGGAGUCUCUGUACAGUGUACUGAUAUUACACUGGUUCUACUGGAGUCUCUGUACAGUGUACUGAUAUUAUACUGGUUCUACUGGAGUCUCUGUACAGUGUACUGAUAUUAUACUGGUUCUACUGGAGUCUCUGUACAGUGUACUGAUAUUAUACUGGUUCUACUGGAGUCUCUGUACAGUGUACUGAUAUUAUACUGGUUCUACUGGAGUCUCUGUACAGUGUACUGAUAUUAUACUGGUUCUACUGGAGUCUCUGUACAGUGUACUGAUAUUACACUGGUUCUACUGGAGUCUCUGUACAGUGUACUGAUAUUAUACUGGUUCUACUGGAGUCUCUGUACAGUGUACUGAUAUUAUACUGGUUCUACUGGAGUCUCUGUACAGUGUACUGAUAUUAUACUGGUUCUACUGGAGUCUCUGUACAGUGUACUGAUAUUAUACUGGUUCUACUGGAGUCUCUGUACAGUGUACUGAUAUUAUACUGGUUCUACUGGAGUCUCUGUACAGUGUACUGUAUCUAAUAUUGUACUGGUUGUUAUAUUAUUAUAUGUUCUAUUGUACUACGGUCUAUGCUGCUGAAAUAAAGUAAAACAAGGCGG